This 1097-nucleotide long non-coding RNA is filed under the name Hordeum vulgare. RNAcentral describes it as "long non-coding RNA (HVUL_LNC003245)". Lineage: Eukaryota; Viridiplantae; Streptophyta; Magnoliopsida; Poales; Poaceae. The record is from RNAcentral.
CCGCCAGCAUCCCGAGCCCCGCCGACGCGAUCACGAUGGGGGAAACCAUCUUCGCCGAAAAACCAACCCAAGAAUCUCCCUUCCCUUGGUGCGCAGACUGCUAGCUAACCGGAAACGGAGGAGCAACUGCAGGGGAGGAGGAGGAGUAGGAACUGUAUUUCUUGGCUUCCUUGCCGUGUGUACUUGGCUGGUGCUGGUAGGAGCGGGAGAAGAAGAGAUAUCGAUGGGCGUGUGUGGACGAGGAGAGGUCGUGGCAAUCUGUUGUUUUUGUGGACGGGGUGCGCCGAUUUAUAGGAUUUUUAUCGGGGGUUGAGGUUGUAGGAAGGUGGGUGCUGGGAUAGUUUGUUCGGCAGUUUGGAGGGUAGCGGAGGCGGGGAAGGGAAGGCGUGCCCGCCUCGUUGCCUUUGCUUGCCUGCAUGGUCUGCAUCCGUCGGCUACUCUGCUAUGCUUCCGUGUUUCGGUUGCGGUUUCGUGUGCGCUGCUGGCUGCUUGGCUGCUUGCUGGUUCCUUCUUCUGUGUUCCUUUCCUCUUCCAUGCCACGAGACGAUUCUCUUGAUUACUUGCAAGAUUCUGAUUUAAAGACAUCCCUAGCGGAUUCCUUAUUUUCGCCCUAUUUGUCAAUCGGAAAACAUCAUCCAAUGGGCUCCUCUGGAUAGUCCCGACUGUUCGGUAUCGCCAGUCCCGCCUCAAACUGAAGGAACAAAUAAGGUAGUUUGAACUGUCCGCCACAUUUUUUUGUACCACAUUUUCAUUAGGCAAACCAAAACAGAGUGGUCAAUCGUCCCAGAAUAACAGCAUAUCCACCCUAAAAGGAAUAAGAAUUAUAACAAAGACCAUAAAGGAAGAGAUUGCUGAACUAAAUCCAAGCCUGUUGUCAUCUUCCUUUCACGUCGGCGCCACAUCGCAUCGAAGCUUUCUGAACCGAAUAAAGAACCGCCAUGAACAGCAGGAUACUUAUCUCUGUGGCAUAACGGUCGGGGAACAACCCCGAACACUUCAGGUCUCGAAACCGCCAUCUUCAGGCAACGCCGUUGAAGAAGACAGACAAAUUCGCCAACCCUCACACACAAACCCAGUACCGAAGAGGUCGUCAGCAU